CCCUUAGAUGUUCUGGGCCGCACGCGCGCUACACUGAUGCAUUCAACGAGCCUAUCCUUGAUCGACAGGUCCGGGUAAUCUUUGAAUCUGCAUCGUGACGGGGAUAGAUUAUUGCAAUUAUUAAUCUUCAACGAGGAAUGCCUAGUAGGCGCAAGUCAUCAGCUUGCGUCGAUUACGUCCCUGCCCUUUGUACACACCGCCCGUCGCUCCUACCGAUUGGGUGUGCUGGUGAAAUGUUCGGAUCGGCCGUUUGUCGCGGUUUCCGCGGCUCGUGGCUGAGAAGUUCAUUAAACCCUCCCACCUAGAGGAAGGAGAAGUCGUAACA
This 325-nucleotide ribosomal RNA is filed under the name uncultured eukaryote. RNAcentral describes it as "partial 18S ribosomal RNA". It matches the Rfam family "Eukaryotic small subunit ribosomal RNA", at positions 1470 to 1796 of the family's 1831-position model. The record is from RNAcentral.